GACGAACGCUGGCGGCGUGCUUAACACAUGCAAGUAGAACGGAAAGGCCCUGCUUGCAGGGUACUCGAGUGGCGAACGGGUGAGUAACACGUGGGUGAUCUGCCCUGCACUUCGGGAUAAGCCUGGGAAACUGGGUCUAAUACCGGAUAGGAGCCAUUUUUAGUGUGAUGGUUGGAAAGUUUUUUCGGUGUAGGAUGAGCUCGCGGCCUAUCAGCUUGUUGGUGGGGUAAUGGCCUACCAAGGCGGCGACGGGUAGCCGGCCUGAGAGGGUGGACGGCCACAUUGGGACUGAGAUACGGCCCAGACUCCUACGGGAGGCAGCAGUGGGGAAUAUUGCACAAUGGGCGCAAGCCUGAUGCAGCGACGCCGCGUGGGGGAUGACGGCCUUCGGGUUGUAAACUCCUUUCGCUAGGGACGAAGCUUUUUGUGACGGUACCUAGAGAAGAAGCACCGGCUAACUACGUG
RNAcentral lists this ribosomal RNA (465 nucleotides) under uncultured bacterium. RNAcentral describes it as "partial 16S ribosomal RNA". It matches the Rfam family "Bacterial small subunit ribosomal RNA", at positions 28 to 507 of the family's 1533-position model. The record is from RNAcentral.